AGGGUACAUAUAGAUAAACGUCCAUUAAAAAAAAAAAAUUGAAAAAAACAUGAAAACUAAUUCAGCAUCUACUUCCUUGUUGGACAGCGCCAUACUAAUUGUGGUACUGUAUGUGGUUCUUAAUUGCGGCGAGGCACAUAUUUCAGACGAGAAAAUUCUUAAGCCAUACCACCAAACAAAAACGGCACAAAAGGUGUCAAACUCAAGGCACGGGGACCAUAUCUGGGGCCCCACGUGAUUUUAUGUGGCCUGCGAAGGACAUCUGAUAAUAAGCCAAUCACAGGUUCUGAUGGAGACGGAAGAAUGAUAAGAGCAGCAUCCCGCCCUGCAGGGAACGAGGCUGAGUACCGCUCCUAUCAGUGUCAGCUGAGGGGAAUGUGGGAAAGAUUACGUGGAGAGUGACGAGAGUGACGCUUCUCAUCAUGAAGAAAAUGCAAGGAUUUUUUUUGGGGUGUGUUUUAAAUGAUGACCGAUGCCACGGAACGAAUCAAACUUCUAUCUCAAGACAACACUGACUGUACUGCAAUACUGGGCCGUUUGGAAAUGGGUCUGGCAGAGAGUCAGCGAGGAGGUCUUAAGUGGAGAGAAGAGGAGGAAUGGAGCGUGCGUGCGUCUCGUCCUUUGCCGCUUUGAUGGAUUUUGCAAGCACGUAUCCACUCGCCCGAGCUGGAGUGCGCAGCUGUCAUGGCUGCCCCGCCAAACAAGGAGACAGACCGAAGGGGGUUCCUUUUGACGGAGGCCAAGACUCGAGUCUCUAGUGCCAGUGCACACAGCUUUGAUUAUGUAAGUGGGAGAUGAAAGAGGAGGUGGAGAAAACAAAUGAAAGAAGGCAAACGGAGUGACAAACAGCCCGGUGGGCGGAAAGAUGUGGACAGAAAAGGAAGUUGGGGAGAGGAGUCUGACUCAUUCCCUCAGUUCUUGCUGCGGGAAUUAGUUGAGAGCCGUGUAGGGCAAAGCUUGCAACCCCUGAAAGCAAAAUUUUCCUCCUGAGAUGUGGAAGACAGAAAAAACAUCAUUUUCAUCGUCAACAUUUUUUUAUUCCUGUUCAUUCUCACUGGCUUAGCUCAAUAAACAAAGUUGGAUUAUUUGUGGUUAAGAUCUACAAUUUUCCGCAGCACAGAGGUCGGGACCUACUGGGCUAAUCAACCUUUGAGUUUCAACCGGUCAAGCAGGGCUGGUUUGGAGCGCAAGAUUCCAUGCAA
Syngnathoides biaculeatus (alligator pipefish) is the source of this 1202-nucleotide long non-coding RNA. RefSeq lists it as uncharacterized. The transcript is spliced from 6 exons. The record is from RefSeq and is a predicted model, not a curated record. Lineage: Eukaryota; Metazoa; Chordata; Actinopteri; Syngnathiformes; Syngnathidae.